RNAcentral lists this ribosomal RNA (284 nucleotides) under Segatella copri DSM 18205. RNAcentral's name for it is "Prevotella copri DSM 18205 partial 16S ribosomal RNA". It matches the Rfam family "Bacterial small subunit ribosomal RNA", at positions 501 to 776 of the family's 1533-position model. Lineage: Bacteria; Pseudomonadati; Bacteroidota; Bacteroidia; Bacteroidales; Prevotellaceae. The record is from RNAcentral.
UCUUUUCCUUUUUUUCCCUCCUCCUCUUUCAUACGGAAGGUCCGGGCGUUAUCCGGAUUUAUUGGGUUUAAAGGGAGCGUAGGCCGGAGAUUAAGCGUGUUGUGAAAUGUAGACGCUCAACGUCUGCACUGCAGCGCGAACUGGUUUCCUUGAGUACGCACAAAGUGGGCGGAAUUCGUGGUGUAGCGGUGAAAUGCUUAGAUAUCACGAAGAACUCCGAUUGCGAAGGCAGCUCACUGGAGCGCAACUGACGCUGAAGCUCGAAAGUGCGGGUAUCGAACAGG